CAGUCGCCGCGGGAAUACGUAGGGUGCGAGCGUUAAUCGGAAUUACUGGGCGUAAAGCGUGCGCAGGCGGUUUGUUAAGACGGAUGUGAAAUCCCCGGGCUCAACCUGGGAACUGCAUUCGUGACUGGCAAGCUAGAGUAUGGCAGAGGGGGGUGGAAUUCCACGUGUAGCAGUGAAAUGCGUAGAGAUGUGGAGGAACACCGAUGGCGAAGGCAGCCCCCUGGGCCAAUACUGACGCUCAUGCACGAAAGCGUGGGGAGCAAACAGGAUUAGAUACCCCCGUAGUCCCUGUCUCUUAUAC
RNAcentral lists this ribosomal RNA (301 nucleotides) under uncultured bacterium. Its description in RNAcentral is "partial 16S ribosomal RNA". It matches the Rfam family "Bacterial small subunit ribosomal RNA", at positions 509 to 807 of the family's 1533-position model. The record is from RNAcentral.